Long non-coding RNA from Lucilia cuprina (Australian sheep blowfly), 299 nucleotides. RefSeq lists it as uncharacterized. The transcript is spliced from 3 exons. NCBI's taxonomy places the organism in Eukaryota, Metazoa, Arthropoda, Insecta, Diptera, Calliphoridae. The record is from RefSeq and is a predicted model, not a curated record.
AAUUUUUUUAAUAAUUACUCUGUGCUUUAUGUCCUUAAUAGAAAAUAUUGAUGCUAAGAGGAUUUCAAAAUAUGUCAAUGAUGAUAAAGAAGAAGUAAUUGUCUAUGAUAAUGGCGAUACAUAUUAUAAGAAUAAAGUAACCGGUGAAAUUAUUAUGAAUAACAGAGGAUGAGGAUUUGCAAUUCAGUGGGAAGAAGUCUUCCAAAACUAAAUUUUGAUUUGUAUAUUUUUUAUGCUUUUUCAUAAUUGUGUUGAUUUUUAUUUCUUUAAUAAAAAAUAUAUUUAAUUUAAUUUUUAUA